AGACCCCGUCAAGGUUAUAAGCUCUAUCAAGAGGAUACUCUUUGGGAAAACUGGUAACAAUAUAUUCCUUAAGUUUUUUAGGUCGAUUGAUGAUGUCUUCUCUGGUGAAAACAAUAUUAGCAAUCUCACCUUUAACCAGUUGAGUGAUGAUAUUUUCCUGCUUACGUGACACAAAGAUGUAAGGGGAUGUUGUCUAGGUCGGACUAUAUCGAGGAGUGUUUUGGAGAACCUAGUAGAAAGUUGUUCGAACCAUUUAAGUUUAUCGUUGGUGGAUGUUCCAGCUGGGAAUGCCAGGCGCACAUAGUCAGCGCGGGGAGCAAUAGGAGGCUUGGGUGGGCGGGCCCCUGGCUGGGUGAGCCCACCACCGCCCACCUCCACCGUCUUCACACGGGUUCCGGUGUUUCUGUCAUCAUUGCCAAUGUCCUCAUCGCCGUCAGCAGAGUCUGCAAGUUUAGACUUUCUUCUCGCAUUCCUUAAAGUUGUUCGAACCAUU
Molecule: non-coding RNA, 493 nt
Organism: Procambarus clarkii (red swamp crayfish)
Lineage: Eukaryota; Metazoa; Arthropoda; Malacostraca; Decapoda; Cambaridae
Source: RefSeq, a predicted model, not a curated record